Molecule: unclassified non-coding RNA, 201 nt
Filed under: Glomeraceae sp.
Lineage: Eukaryota; Fungi; Glomeromycota; Glomeromycetes; Glomerales; Glomeraceae
Description: partial contains 5.8S ribosomal RNA and internal transcribed spacer 2
Rfam family: 5.8S ribosomal RNA (bases 1-65)
Source: RNAcentral
GUGAAUCAUCAAAUCUUUGAACGCAAAUUGCACUCUCUUCGGAGAGUAUGCCUGUUUGAGGGUCAGUAUUAAUUAAAAAUAGGUUUGGUUGCAAAUUGUGACGUUUCCGGAGUUUGGGCUAUCCUAACUUCUUGGGUUAAGGGGCUUAAAAUUGACCUAUUUUGAGCAUUUUGAGUGGUACAUACUUUUUUUUUUUAUUCG